RNAcentral lists this unclassified non-coding RNA (521 nucleotides) under Hevea brasiliensis (rubber tree). The record is from RNAcentral. Lineage: Eukaryota; Viridiplantae; Streptophyta; Magnoliopsida; Malpighiales; Euphorbiaceae.
AGCAUCAGCGAGUGCAUAACACCGGUCAAAUGCAGCCUCUGGAAAGUCCGUACAUAAGUUGGCGUAACCGCGAUAACAGUCUUUGGGCUCUUCACUCCAAACUGAAUCCUCUGCUCUUUCUGAACGCUCUCAAUUAUCUGGUGCGCUCUCAUCACCUCGGCCGGAUUCGGAUGGGGCCAAGGCCGGAUCCGGAUCCCAUGGCGGCCAACGAUAACUCUAGAGCUGACGGUUUUGUUAAUUGCAGGCACUUCGGGGUUAACAACCGGAUUGUAAGGGACAUUAAGAGGAUUGGCGAGGUCAGCGGUGGUGGCGAGCUGACGGAAUGGCAUGCCGUAGAGAUUAGAGGCAGAGGUGGAGAAAAGAAAUAGAAAAACUAAACGAGAGAAACGGAAACCGAGUACGAGACUAAUAAGGCAGCAAACACCAUGGAGAAGGAGCCAAAAGAUAGCUGCGGGAGAUUUAACCGCACUUUCAGCAGACGAAUCCAACGGCGCUGAUCCUCUGAAGCUGGUGCUCCGGCG